GGCCCAUUGGUGAAGCGGUUAAGACACUGCCCUUCACGGCAGUAACACGGAUUCGAAUCCCGUAUGGGUCACCA
RNAcentral lists this transfer RNA (74 nucleotides) under Litchfieldia luteola. Its description in RNAcentral is "tRNA-OTHER". It matches the Rfam family "tRNA". From Rfam's summary of the family: Transfer RNA (tRNA) molecules are approximately 80 nucleotides in length. Lineage: Bacteria; Bacillati; Bacillota; Bacilli; Caryophanales; Bacillaceae. The record is from RNAcentral.